Notothenia coriiceps (black rockcod) is the source of this 158-nucleotide long non-coding RNA. RefSeq lists it as uncharacterized. Lineage: Eukaryota; Metazoa; Chordata; Actinopteri; Perciformes; Nototheniidae. The transcript is spliced from 3 exons. The record is from RefSeq and is a predicted model, not a curated record.
CCAGCUCUGUUUAAGUUGAUCAAAGCUACCCCCCUCCUUCAUCACAACACCUCCACUACGAUACGCACAAUGGACGACGAGGUUUUCAUCAUGGAAGUGGAAAAACACACUAUUUUAUAUGAUGUAACCAAUGCUUACUACAAGGACAACAUCAGAAA